RNAcentral lists this ribosomal RNA (465 nucleotides) under Vreelandella stevensii. RNAcentral's name for it is "partial 16S ribosomal RNA". It matches the Rfam family "Bacterial small subunit ribosomal RNA", at positions 338 to 795 of the family's 1533-position model. The record is from RNAcentral. Lineage: Bacteria; Pseudomonadati; Pseudomonadota; Gammaproteobacteria; Oceanospirillales; Halomonadaceae.
CCUACGGGAGGCUGCAGUGGGGAAUAUUGGACAAUGGGCGAAAGCCUGAUCCAGCCAUGCCGCGUGUGUGAAGAAGGCCUUCGGGUUGUAAAGCACUUUCAGUGGGGAAGAAAGCCUUGGGGCUAAUACCCUCGAGGAAGGACAUCACCCACAGAAGAAGCACUGGCUAACUCCGUGCCAGCAGCCGCGGUAAUACGGAGGGUGCGAGCGUUAAUCGGAAUUACUGGGCGUAAAGCGCGCGUAGGCGGUCUGAUAAGCCGGUUGUGAAAGCCCCGGGCUCAACCUGGGAACGGCAUCCGGAACUGUCAGGCUAGAGUGCAGGAGAGGAAGGUAGAAUUCCCGGUGUAGCGGUGAAAUGCGUAGAGAUCGGGAGGAAUACCAGUGGCGAAGGCGGCCUUCUGGACUGACACUGACGCUGAGGUGCGAAAGCGUGGGUAGCAAACAGGAUUAGAUACCCUUGUAGUC